This 74-nucleotide transfer RNA is filed under the name Moramonas marocensis. RNAcentral describes it as "tRNA-Leu". It matches the Rfam family "tRNA". Rfam says of the family: Transfer RNA (tRNA) molecules are approximately 80 nucleotides in length. Their secondary structure includes four short double-helical elements and three loops (D, anti-codon, and T loops). Lineage: Eukaryota; Jakobea; Jakobida; Moramonadidae. The record is from RNAcentral.
GUGGGUAUAGCCCAACAGGUAGAGGCAAGUGACUUAAAAUCACUCAAGUGUGGGUUCAAAUCCCACUAUCCAUA